GGUCACGUGGUGUAGUGGCAAGGCGCUAAGACUGCCGCGCUAGAGGUCAGUGGUUCGAUUCCCGCUCGCACCG
This is a non-coding RNA of Aphelenchus avenae, 73 nucleotides long. NCBI's taxonomy places the organism in Eukaryota, Metazoa, Nematoda, Chromadorea, Rhabditida, Aphelenchidae. The record is from the annotation of a GenBank genome assembly.